AACCGGCGAUACCCGAAUGGGGAAACCCAGUGUGUUUCGACACACUAUCAUGUCAUGAAUACAUAGUGGCAUGAGGCGAACCGGGGGAACUGAAACAUCUAAGUACCCCGAGGAAAAGAAAUCAACCGAGAUUCCCCCAGUAGCGGCGAGCGAACGGGGAGGAGCCCAGAACCUGAAUCGGCUUGUGUGUUAGUGGAAGCGUCUGGAAAGUCGCGCAG
RNAcentral lists this ribosomal RNA (218 nucleotides) under Serratia marcescens. RNAcentral's name for it is "partial 23S ribosomal RNA". It matches the Rfam family "Bacterial large subunit ribosomal RNA", at positions 102 to 357 of the family's 2925-position model. RNAcentral also lists the same sequence under 1 other name. The record is from RNAcentral. Lineage: Bacteria; Pseudomonadati; Pseudomonadota; Gammaproteobacteria; Enterobacterales; Yersiniaceae.